Molecule: small RNA, 29 nt
Filed under: Bombyx mori (domestic silkworm)
Lineage: Eukaryota; Metazoa; Arthropoda; Insecta; Lepidoptera; Bombycidae
Description: ovarian small RNA-9569
Source: RNAcentral
UUCCCGCACAAAACGGGUGGAGCCCGAAG